This is a long non-coding RNA of Ostrea edulis (European flat oyster), 341 nucleotides long. RefSeq lists it as uncharacterized. Lineage: Eukaryota; Metazoa; Mollusca; Bivalvia; Ostreida; Ostreidae. The record is from RefSeq and is a predicted model, not a curated record. The transcript is spliced from 3 exons.
AAUAGUAUCUUUAUUCUAUACCUCAUUACCGUGUGUAGUUUAUAUCCAAUUAUGGAGGAAAUUGUGCAUAAACCAUGAUGUUCAUCGCAUCUUACGUAUUUCUCUUCUGUUUACAUUUUGUUCAUUCAAAAGCUGGACUCGGGGUAGGAGUCUGCGGUCGUGAUCCUUUGAGAUGCUGUCCGAAUUAUCGAAGUGACGGUACAUUCUGCAAUCCUUGUGAUACAGGUACCUAUGGACACAAUUGCUCUGAAAGUUGUGUUUAUGGAUCGUAUGGAUUUGGAUGUUCAAAGAAGUGUAACUGUUCACGUGAUCAGUUUUGUGACGCAGUUACAGGAUGCUCA